GUCCCAGCCGUAAACGAUGGACACUAGGUGUCGGGGGUAUCGACCCCUCCGGUGCCGCAGCUAACGCAUUAAGUGUCCCGCCUGGGGAGUACGGCCGCAAGGUUGAAACUCAAAGGAAUUGACGGGGGCCCGCACAAGCGGUGGAGCAUGUUGUUUAAUACGUCACUAACCGUAGAACCUUACCAGGGCUUGACAUCUCUGGACCGUCGGUGAAAGCCGGCUUCCCGCAGGGACUAGAAGACAGGUGUUGCAUGGCUGUCGU
RNAcentral lists this ribosomal RNA (262 nucleotides) under uncultured bacterium. RNAcentral's name for it is "partial 16S ribosomal RNA". It matches the Rfam family "Bacterial small subunit ribosomal RNA", at positions 793 to 1055 of the family's 1533-position model. The record is from RNAcentral.